Molecule: unclassified non-coding RNA, 460 nt
Filed under: Hevea brasiliensis (rubber tree)
Lineage: Eukaryota; Viridiplantae; Streptophyta; Magnoliopsida; Malpighiales; Euphorbiaceae
Source: RNAcentral
AUCUGAACUUGAAUCUGGUUAUGUAUGACUUGUGAUGAUAAAGUUUGAGCUAGAACUUCAUUUACUAUAAUACUUAGUGAGGCCAAGGAAGGUGUAGAGAAAAUGGACCAUGCCUAACUCAACUAAAAGCUAACUCAACUAAAAGCUAGCUCAAAUGGGAGGAUUGCUCAGGUCUUUAUAAUUUGACCUCUUGCCUUAUCUCUUGAUAGAUGUGGGAUAACACACCCUUUACGCCAGACAAGAACUUUGGAGCUUGAAGUUUGCACUUUGUAAACAUGAACAUCUACGGGUGACUCAACAUUGCGAUAAAGAUAGGCUCAAAUACCAUGUAGAAGAAAUGGAUCGGACUUAAUGCAAUCCCAAAAGGUAGUUUAGGGCUAACAUUGGAGCGUGAAACAUUUAUGAGAGGUCCAAGCUGCCUUUUAGGGUUGAGGUUGGUCCAAUCCAUUUUCUCUACAUG